AAGGCCUGGGUGUGACCCUGCAGCACCAGCGGGGUCCCCUCCCUGUGCCCCGUCAUCAUCAUCAUCAUCAUCAUCAUCAUCAUCCUCGGCCCUCUGUGGGGAGGUGUCACUGCUCAGCCUGGGCACUGCUGUGGUGUAUCCCAAAAAAUCCCCCAAAAAUCCAAAAAAAUCCCCCAAAAUCCCAAAAAUCUGCAAUGGAGUGGAGACACACGUGGGACAGGUGUGGGAUGGGCAGGGCAGCUUCAUCCCCAUAAAUCAUCCUGUGGUUUAUCCCAAAAAUCCCAAAAAUCUGGAACAGAGUGGAGACACAGUGUGGGACAGGUGUGGGUUGGGCAGGGCAGCUUCAUCCUCCUAAAUCAAGGAAAUCACCCUGUGCUUUAUCCCAAAAAUCCCAAGGCAGCUUCAUCCUUCCAGAUCACCCUGUGGUUUAUCCCAAAAAUCCCAGGGAAGUUUCAUCCUCCUAAAUUACCUUCUGGUUAACCCCAAAAAUCCCAAGGCAGCUUCAUCCUUCCAGAUCACUCUGUGGUUUAUCCCAAAAAUCCCAGGGCAGCUUCAUCUUCAUCCUCUUAAAUCACCCUGUGGUUUAUCCCAAAAAACUCCAACUGAAUGAAAACAC
Molecule: long non-coding RNA, 616 nt
Filed under: Zonotrichia albicollis (white-throated sparrow)
Lineage: Eukaryota; Metazoa; Chordata; Aves; Passeriformes; Passerellidae
Description: lncRNA (ENSZALG00000001727.1)
Source: RNAcentral